Molecule: RNA transcript, 2667 nt
Organism: Entelurus aequoreus (snake pipefish)
Lineage: Eukaryota; Metazoa; Chordata; Actinopteri; Syngnathiformes; Syngnathidae
Exons: 5
Source: RefSeq, a predicted model, not a curated record
AAUCAGACGCCACGCGGCGCGCGGCCACGGGUGGCGCCAGACGCAGCGGAGGGCACGAGCCGACACACUCCCCCUCCCUCUCCUGUCACCGAACAUCAGCCUGCCAACAAGCACCACCCCGCACCCCCCACCUCCACCCCCCGCGUCGUGAGGACGACACACGUAUCCGUUCAUAACCUCCGCCAUUAUUCAUCGCCCCCUCCCCCCCUGCAGGGUCUUGCCGCUUCCUCGCCACCUGCCUCUCCUCCUUCCUGCCUCGCGCUCGCUCGUGCCAAGCCCAGCCGCAGGGAAGUAAACAAACAUGUCGGGGAUGACGAGCGGCGUGUGCGUGGAGAGCGAUCUGUCCUCGGUCCUCCAGAGAAGCUCCGCCUCCUCGCACCAUCAUCCAAAUCACCAUGGCUACGGUGCACAGGGCCAGGUGUCCACGCUGGCGCCGGUGUUGGACUACAGCAGCGAGAUGGACCGCUACCGCUCGUCCAUCGCCAGCUUCUACAAGACCAACGUUAACAUGGAUGUCACCAGCUUCCCGCCGUCCGCCAAGCUGGCGGCCCGAUUGGCAGCGGCUGCCCCCAUCUUCCCCCCUGCAGCCACCAGACUGGGCGCCAUGGCGGCAGCGCCCUGGGGUUGCCACGACAACAUGAACCAUCCGGCGGCAGUCUUCUGGGGCCGGCCUAAGCCCGCCGCCACGCAUCACCACCACCACCACCCAACUCCAACCACACCUUCAGGUCACAUGACCCCUUCACACCCCCAUAGCAGUGUCAUGCACCAGGGCAGCGGUGCACCAGGUGCGGUGGGCGGUGGACGGCCCGACGAGGGUGGACGGACAGAAAAACAUUCACUUCCUGUUGCUCAAACACCCCACCACCACCCUAUGGCGCCGAGCAAUGGGAACUUCCCGCCGGGCUAUGGAGGAGGGGCUGACUGUGGCAUCAACAAGCAAGGACAUGCCCACCAAGAUGUGAUGGGCCUGUCAGAGGGAGGGAGCUGCAAUGGGGGAGGGGUUCUCGGAAGCAGCUUCUUAGGGGGCCUGGGCUUACCCCCGGGUGUCAUUGUCAUGGCGAUGGGGUCAGCCGGGGGUGGGAUUUCAGACGCCAGCAGCGCUUUCCAGAUGACGGGCAGCCAGCGAGUGCCGGUGGACUGCCAGCAGCACGCCAACACUUCCCCCUGUCCCGCCUCUACCUCGCCCUCAGGUGUGACUGCGGGGGGUGUGGUCUUGUCAUCGUCGUCAGGGGCGGCAGCCAAGAGAAAGAGGAAACGGUGUGGCGUCUGCGGGCCGUGCAGGCGCCUCAUCAACUGUGGCGUGUGUUCGUCAUGUCGCAACAGGAAGACAGGUCACCAGAUCUGCAAGUUCCGGAAGUGCGAAGAACUCAAGAAGAAGCCGGGGGGAGGCGGGGGAGGGGCACUGGAGAGACCGCCAUCUGUCCCGACCGGUGAGGCCUUCCGUUGGUUCUUCUAGUCAGCCCUGGAGGCCAAACAGGAAGUGGUCAUCACACUGGACUAACGUGUGUGCGUGUGUGAGAGGGACUGUUGACAGCUGCUUCCUGGUGGCUGCUUGCUGUGUAUGUCAUUACCUCCGCCCUCCCCACGUGUGAGCAGAGGGCUCUAAGUGUGGGCGGGGAUUCAUGCUAACGUCUGACACACAGCGUGGCCGUUCUUGUCCGGACUCCACCUGAAACGCUCGGCCUCAAGAGGUGAAGCGUGUGAGCUGAGCAGGAGUUCCACCACACAAAGGACUACAACAUGGAGGACUACAAGUACCACGUGACCUCUACAAAUGCUCCUCUUCAAGAAGCCUCCAAUGGAUUUCCUGUCUCGGACACGACUCUGACAGUGUUGUAGUUUUAUGACGAAGUCGAGAUCCGGCAGACUUGGACAAGAACCAUGCAGGCAGCUUUAAACAAGGAAGAAAAUGUCAACACCCUCUUUCAAGAGCCCUACCAUGAAGACACACACACACACACACACACACACACACACACACACACACACACACACACACACACACACACACACACACACACACACACACACACACACACACACACACACACACACACACACACACACACACACACACACACACGUCAGCUGAUUGCUUCACAUUGAGUGCUCAUGUGAACAACAGUGGUGCGAGGCAGAACGCUGGUUGUCCUUGACGACGAGCACCGUGUUGCUAAGCAACUGCUAACAAUGGACCUGCUAAUGUUCCACAAUGUGGGCGUGGCCUGAGAGGGUGGAAGGGAAAUGCUUGCACACAAUGAUCCCUGACAAGGUUUGUCAGAGAGGGUGUGAGUGCGCUAGAUUAACACUUCCAGAGUUUUUUUUUUUUUCAAGCUUCACAUUCAAAAGCACUCGAGGUUGAAAAAAAGUUGACCUUCAUUUUGAAGCCACAAGAACUGCUUUAACGUGCCAUCUAGUGGCAGGCAACAGACAUUGCAGCUGAAAGGAGGACAAGAUCCAGUAGGAAGGUGUCACUAUGGAAACAAGAUGCCAAGCAGUGGCACAUUGAAAAAACAACUAAUUUCCAACACGUUUUUGCCAACAUUUCAAUAAAACUCAGGUCUAUAUGCAUCCCCCUGCACCACAAGAUCUUUGUAUUGGUUCCUAUUAUGAAAGUUUGGGAAAUGUUACUGUGGAGGAGUGCCAUAUAGACUAGUCUACACU